This is a non-coding RNA of Camelina sativa (false flax), 251 nucleotides long. The record is from RefSeq and is a predicted model, not a curated record. Lineage: Eukaryota; Viridiplantae; Streptophyta; Magnoliopsida; Brassicales; Brassicaceae.
AUCUGAACUGGUGUGAUGAGUUUUCUUAUCUGCUUGUAGUCGCGUGAGAAGUUUGUGUCUUUAAAGAAGAAUACAAAAGGAGAAAUUGUUGCAGAGUUGGAAGAGGAUCUGGAGAACUCAAAGUCAACAUUUGAGAAGAGCCGUUUCAAUCUAAAUGCAGGUAAAUUCAUUGAUGACUAUUGAAGCUAAAAAGAAGUAUGAGUUUUUAGAAUCCAUAAGUGCAAUUAUGGAUGCCCAUCUGAGAUAUUUUA